CAGACGGUCAGAGGCCCACCAGCCAGCUCGUGCCACCUGCACAAAUCUCAUUCCUGCGCUCGCGCGCACAGCACAGCGCAGCGCAGAAUAUGGCGGGUUUUUUUUAAGAGGAGCUCUGCAAUUAUCAGGAGGAGCCGAGUAGCAGUAGUAUUAGAAUAAUCCGAGGGCCGGAUUCCCUAUCGCUCUCGGGAUGAUUAACCUGGUGGCAAGUGGUUGGGGCUUAGGGAGAGAGCCUGUCUAACUGGUUUGUUUAAUUAUUAGAGUGUGCGCGAGCCGACAGCGGUCUCGGAAAGCUGAGUGCUUGUCCGGGCGUCCGUGGCUCCAUUGCCAACUUGCCAUCGCGCCUGCAGCUUUCGCGCACAAGGCGCCCUUGCCCCUUGCCCCGCCGCGGCCAUGGGGUCGCCGGUGAAUGGUCGCUAGUGGCACGACGAGAGGAAGAGGAGACCACCAAAAAAAGCCUCUCCAGCUUGUUCCGUCUCGUCAAUCGUCAUGGCGGCACUAGCUACUCUGCUGGAAAAGCAUUGGACAAGUUACAGGUGGAGGGAUACUGCCAUUUUUCAUUGGUUCCUUCGGUAACCAUCGGCAAUAUUUCAAUGGCAAAUACGAGUUGAUGCUUUAGUCUUGUAAAGAAAAUAAUACCAAAACCUUUUACUAAUUGAAAAAUUGGUGUUUGAUGAAUAUCAGAGAUAUUAAAACGUCA
Long non-coding RNA from Zea mays, 700 nucleotides. RefSeq lists it as uncharacterized. The transcript has 2 exons. The record is from RefSeq and is a predicted model, not a curated record. Lineage: Eukaryota; Viridiplantae; Streptophyta; Magnoliopsida; Poales; Poaceae.